AUUGAACGCUGGCGGCAGGCCUAACACAUGCAAGUCGAACGGUAACAGGAAACAGCUUGCUGUUUCGCUGACGAGUGGCGGACGGGCGAGUAAUGUCUGGGAAACUGCCUGAUGGAGGGGGAUAACUACUGGAAGCGGUAGCUAAUACCGCAUAACGUCGCAAGACCAAAGAGGGGGACCUUCGGGCCUCUUGCCAUCAGAUGUGCCCAGAUGGGAUUAGCUAGUAGGUGGGGUAACGGCUCACCUAGGCGACGAUCCCUAGCUGGUCUGAGAGGAUGACCAGCCACACUGGAACUGAGACACGGUCCAGACUCCUACGGGAGGCAGCAGUGGGGAAUAUUGCACAAAGGGCGCAAGCCUGAUGCAGCCAUGCCGCGUGUAUGAAGAAGGCCUUCGGGUUGUAAAGUACUUUCAGCGGGGAGGAAGGGAGUAAAGUUAAUACCUUUGCUCAUUGACGUUACCCGCAGAAGAAGCACCGGCUAACUCCGUG
RNAcentral lists this ribosomal RNA (490 nucleotides) under uncultured bacterium. RNAcentral describes it as "partial 16S ribosomal RNA". It matches the Rfam family "Bacterial small subunit ribosomal RNA", at positions 30 to 507 of the family's 1533-position model. The record is from RNAcentral.